GUUGAAACACUGGUCCUCGUAUGGUCACUGAAGUUAAGCAAUGUUGAGCCUGAUCACUACCUAGAUGGGUGACCACUUGGGAAUACCAGAUGCUGUAAG
Molecule: non-coding RNA, 99 nt
Organism: Acanthosepion pharaonis
Lineage: Eukaryota; Metazoa; Mollusca; Cephalopoda; Sepiida; Sepiidae
Source: the annotation of a GenBank genome assembly